RNAcentral lists this ribosomal RNA (267 nucleotides) under uncultured bacterium. RNAcentral's name for it is "partial 16S ribosomal RNA". It matches the Rfam family "Bacterial small subunit ribosomal RNA", at positions 524 to 776 of the family's 1533-position model. The record is from RNAcentral.
GACGUAGGGCGCGAGCGUUGUCCGGAUUUAUUGGGCGUAAAGAGCUCGUAGGCGGCUUGUUGCGUCGGCUGUGAAAUCCCGUGGCUUAACUGCGGUCUGCAGCCGAUACGGGCAGGCUGGAGUUCGGUAGGGAGACUGGAAUUCCUGGUGUAGCGGUGAAAUGCGCAGAUAUCAGGAGGAACACCGGUGGCGAAGGCGGCCUGCUGGGCAGUGACCGCAAGGUCUUAAAAGCUGACGCUGAGGCGCGACAGCGUGGGAGCAAACAGG